CGAGACUGUGUUUGGUAUGACAGAAGUCAUUUUCCUAGAAAAUAUUUUCUGGUGGCUGGUUGGUGAAUGCAAAAUAUUUUUUGUAUAUAUUAAAAAUUAAUAAUAAUAAUAUUAUCAAAUUGAAAAGUGUUCUAAUGAAAUUUUUAUGUGCUAAUUAAGACUAAUGAAAAUGUCUAAGUAGUCAGAGCAACCAAUAUGAAGGUAAAAUUUAAGAUAGUUUUACAGAGAAAGUCAUUUUCUCCAUUUCGUUGGAAAAUGUUCCGAUAGGCAAACACUAGAAAAUGACUCCUAGUGAAAAACGUUUCAUGAAAAAGCGGCCCGAGUUUUAUUGGAAACCUUUUUUUUUUUGGUAAUCAGUUUUAUCGGCAAACUAUUAUUCGGUUGACACUUGCUACUAUCAUGAAGAUUAUAAUUAGUCAUUUUAGGUAAUUCAUAAUUUUUUGUGUAUUUUCCCCACUUGCGGGAUUAUACUGGGUUUGUUGUUGUUGUUAUAUAAUUUUUUUGUAUUUUCUUGAAUACUAAUUAUGAAUAUUAUAUAGUUUUGGAUUUAGGCGAAAUAGGAGAAGCAGCUGUUAAGGAAAAAUAAAAAGGCAAAUGCGGACUUGAUACAAUGGUUAUAAAAAAAGGAAGGGAAAAAAAAAAGGAAGAUGCGGAAUUUCUGCCAAGCACUUUGAGACAUUUGCAGUUGGAUUUUAAAAGUACUAAUCACAGUUGUCUACCACUUUACAGAGUAUUUUAGCACUGUCAGUUAGAGCUUUUUUUGGUUUCCCACUCCGUGUCCGAUAUCCGUAUUGGGGCUCGACUAAAUUUGGAUUCACGCCGGGAAGUCCCAUAGUGAAAGUAAAGAACUCUCUAACAAAGGCGACUCCAUACAGAGGCUCACACCCGAGACCUCUGUUUAAGGAUGAAUGAGUACUUACCACUACACCACAACCCUUGUUAGUUUGUCAAUUAGAGCUUAUCUCAACUUCUCUGUUUAGUUUCUUUUGAGUGUUUGAAAUUGGUUUGAAGACAAUUGUUUUUCGGAUUGUACUCGAAAAACUAUUUUCUAUUGUUUUAAUUGUUCAACUAUUAUCUUGCUUAUUUACAUUUAAGGCAAGGCUUUCUGUAAUAUAUUUCAACAUCUGUAUAUUCUGGAGUUAGAGAACAUCUAUUUUGCCAACAUAUUUGAACUCUCAUCCUCAGUUGACGGACUCAAAAGCCUACAAGUCACAAACAUGCUUGAUCCAGAUAUUGCUCAAGCAGAUUAGCUUGAUUAAUUUGAUUACAACAACAACAUAAUACCCAGUCUUAUUCCACACAGUGGGGUCUGGGAAGGUAGUGUGUACGUAGACCUUACCCCUACCUUGUGAGGAAAGGGAGGUUGUUUUCAAUAGACCCUCGGCUCAGGAAAGCAUAAGCACUACAAUAAUGAAAAUAUAGACAAGAAGGGACAAUCAAAAAGCCAUAUAAAAGCAGAAUAAAAACAAGAUAUUAAGGUAAUCAACAAUGAAAGAAAACAACGGUUAGUCAUAAAAACCUACUGCCCACAGAAAGCGAGACUACGUGCCAGCUUGAUUAAUUUGAUUAACUUAAGAGAUUAAAUUUAGCUACUCGAUAUGGAGAAACUCUGCAAGUCGGCAAACUCACAAAUUGACAAACUCCUAAAUACAUUCGAUAUGAUCAGAGGAAAAAUGUUAAUGGUGUUGGUUUGGUCAAUCCUCAAGAACUAGUUGUGGAAGUAUUUGGAAAUCUUACUCCUUAAAUACCGUUAGCAAUUUUCACUUAGUACUCUUAUGCUAUGUUGUAAAUCUUGGGAAUUAUUUCCAACCCCUGAACCACUUUCUUCUUUUCAAUACCAAACUAGUAAAAGGAAAAGCUCUACAUCUAAGCUAUAAAAAACCAGCCUAGUUGGAUGGAGAAUAUCAUCCUCCUACAAAAGGGGAAACAUUUCAGCAUUUCUGAACAUAACAUUUAGAUCAUAAGUUCACAUUUAGAGUUGCAACCAAUCAACUUCAUUUUUUUAAUUAAUUCAAGUAAUAGAAAAGCACAAUGCACAUUACCUAAAGUAUUGGCUAACACAAGGUUCCCUCAAUUAUGCUUUUCUUAGUUGUUCUCAACCAAUUCCUUAGAAUUUCUCCAUAUUUAAUCCAUAGUUCAAUCAUCAAUAGAUCAAUUUCAUCAUAAUAACUAUUACCCAAGGUUGCCCAUAUCAAUUAGACACCGAAGAGUGUGGCCCAGUGGUUAAUGAAGUGAUUGUAAACUUUGAAGACUAGAGUUCAAAUCUUAGCAGAGACAAAAAUACUAGGGUACAGUACUUCUUCUUUGUUCAGUCUUUCCAUAAAGAAUUUAACUUAUAUACAAUUGAAAGUGUAAAAACUUUUUCACUAUCAAAUGUACUAAUAGUGUAGAAAUUUUCUUGCAUUGUCUGUGCUCUUUGAUAAAUAUAUGUGCAGAAGAACUAGGGUAUAUUAUCAAUUAGUUUCCUUUUUCAUUUUUCACUUUUCUACAGGAUUUGAGGGGAGCCUUGAAACAACAGUAAAGUUGUAUCUGUGUGACCUAUAAGUAAUGGGUUCGAGCCGUAGAAGCAGCCACUAAUGUUUGCAUUAGGGUAGGCUAUCUAUAUCACACCCCUUAGGGUGCGGCCCUUCUCCGGAUCCACGGGAUGCCUGUGCACUAGGUCCAUAAUUUACAGAACUUUCUACCCCUUUUCAGCUGGCAAAUCCCAUUCUUCUACAAAAUGUCGUAACUAUGUUGACAACUACCAAAACACAGAAGAACUCAUUCCUGAGAGGGGACAUGAAUUAAGGAACUAAAUUACUUCUCCCCCCCCCCCCCCUAAGAAUAACAUGAUCAGAGUACUAUUAGUGAUUUCAAUUUUUAACAGCUAAAAAAUUGAUUAGAAUGUAUUAACAGAACAGUUUGACUUUGUGAAUAGGAAUGGAGGUACCUUUUUUGAAGAAUUACGAGGAAGAUUAGCUGAAGAAGAACAGUAAAUGUCUUGGAAACUUCCUUUCAUUUUCUUCAAAUGGAAAAAUAAAGAGUUUAGACUUUAUUACUUUUCAAAUUCGGAAGGUUAUUGGGUUCAUAGGAGGAUGACGGCGGAAGAGGGUGGCGUUGAAGGAAGCGGAGGGAGUUCUUCAGCUUCUGCUUCAGAGAUGGAGAAAGGAUCGUUAUAUCUUCCAUUGGAGUUGAGAUUGAGAUUUGAGACUGAAAUUGAAGGGUUUACAUUAUGUUUGUAGAGAAAUGCAAAAACGAAGGGAAGAUGGGGAGGAAAUUUUAUGUAGCUAUACAUCGAAAUUUUUCUUUCUG
Molecule: long non-coding RNA, 3291 nt
Filed under: Nicotiana tabacum (common tobacco)
Lineage: Eukaryota; Viridiplantae; Streptophyta; Magnoliopsida; Solanales; Solanaceae
Description: long non-coding RNA (NTAB_LNC009349)
Source: RNAcentral